AGAGUUUCAUCCUGGCUCAGGAUGAACGCUAGCGGCAGGCCUAACACCUGCAAGUCGAGGGGUAACAGGGGAGCUUGCUCCCGCUGACGACCGGCGCACGGGUGCGGAACGCGUAUGGAACCUACCUCAAUCAGGGGGAUAGCCCAGGGAAACUUGGAUUAAUACCCCAUAGUAUUGUUUUAUUGCAUGAUAGAACAAUUAAAACUUCGGUGGAUUGAGAUGGCCAUGCGGAUCAUUAGCUAGUUGGUAAGGUAACGGCUUAUCAAGGCGACGAUGAUUAGGGGCCCUGAGAGGGGGAUCCCCCACACUGGUACUGAGACACGGACCAGACUCCUACGGGAGGCCAGUGAGGAAUAUUGGAGACAAUGGAGGCAACUCUGAGCCAGCCAUGCCGCGUGCAGGAAGACUGCCCUAUGGGUUGUAAACUGCUUUUAUACGGGAAGAAACCCUCCCACGUGUGGGGGGCUGACGGUACCGUAAGAAUAAGCAUCGGCUAACUCCGUGCCAGCAGCCGCGGUAAUACGGAGGAUGCAAGCGUUAUCCGGAAUCAUUGGGUUUAAAGGGUCCGUAGGCGGACGAUUAAGUCAGGGGUGAAAGUUUGCAGCUCAACUGUAAAAUUGCCCUUGAUACUGGUUGUCUUGAGUUAUAGUGAAGUUGCCGGAAUAUGUAGUGUAGCGGUGAAAUGCAUAGAUAUUACAUAGAACACCGAUUGCGAAGGCAGGUGACUAACCAUAUACUGACGCUGAUGGACGAAAGCGUGGGGAGCGAACAGGAUUAGAUACCCUGGUAGUCCACGCCGUAAACGAUGGAUACUAGCUGUUCGGUCUUCGGACUGAGCGGCCAAGCGAAAGUGAUAAGUAUCCCACCUGGGGAGUACGUUCGCAAGAAUGAAACUCAAAGGAAUUGACGGGGGCCCGCACAAGCGGUGGAGCAUGUGGUUCAAUUCGAUGAUACGCGAGGAACCUUACCAGGGCUUAAAUGUAGAUUGACAGGGCCAGAGAUGGCUUUUCCUUCGGACAAUUUGCAAGGUGCUGCGUGGUUGUCGUCAGCUCGUGCCGUGAGGUGUCAGGUUAAGUCCUAUAACGAGCGCAACCCCUACCGUUAGUUGCCAGCGAGUCAUGUCGGGGACUCUAACGGGACUGCCGGUGCAAACCGUGAGGAAGGUGGGGAUGACGUCAAAUCAUCACGGCCCUUACGUCCUGGGCCACACACGUGCUACAAUGGCCGGUACAGAGAGCAGCCAUCUGGCAACAGAGAGCGAAUCUACAAAACCGGUCACAGUUCGGAUCGGGGUCUGCAACUCGACAACGUGAAGAUGGAAUCGCUAGUAAUCGGAUAUCAGACAUGAUCCGGUGAAUACGUUACCGGGAAUUGUACACACCGCCCGUCAAGCCAUGGAAGCCGGGAGUGCCUGAAGUCCGUCACCGCAAGGAGCGGCCUAGGGCAAGAUCGGUAACUAGGGCUAAGUCGGAACAAGGUAGCC
Molecule: ribosomal RNA, 1483 nt
Filed under: uncultured prokaryote
Description: partial 16S ribosomal RNA
Rfam family: Bacterial small subunit ribosomal RNA
Source: RNAcentral